Molecule: long non-coding RNA, 948 nt
Organism: Chroicocephalus ridibundus (black-headed gull)
Lineage: Eukaryota; Metazoa; Chordata; Aves; Charadriiformes; Laridae
Exons: 5
Source: RefSeq, a predicted model, not a curated record
ACAGCUUUCCAGUGCCAGCUUAAACAUCGAGGACUCCCUGCCACCAUAAAGCUAUAAUUGCUGAAUUAAUAACAGCGGGUUUUGGAGAGUGACUGCACGGACUCUCUGACCCAGAAUUUUGUUAACGACAGCUGAAGAAACACUCCCUCCCCUUCCAACUCAGGAACAAAUUCUGCAGCUGCUGCUCUUCACCUACGGCGCUGCCUCGUGGCCAUCACGGCACUCAUGAGGACAGGGAUAAAGUGACUGCUCCUUUGAAACAGGAUGAUUGGAAGUUAACCAAAAUGGUUCAUAAAUAGUAACGUCCCGUUGUCCUGGAAAAAGUUCAUUUUUUCUCCUUUUCCUUCUCUUUGUCGUCGCCCUCAUUCUCUGCACUCUCAUGGUUUAAGAGCUCCAUGAGCGUUUUGAAGGCACAGGCUGUGCUUUUCCCUCCUGGAAAUGACUGCGGAGGAGGGGCCAGGCCCAGGAAGGGACCUGGCUGUUACCCACACCCGUCCUGCCGACGCGCUGUUCCAAGAGCAAACAUUCCAAGCCUUACAGCUCGUAGGCACUGUGAAAGUGUGGGCGAUAUGGAAUAUGUGUUAUUGCCUCUCCAAGUCCGGUGACUCAGCACCGCAUGCAGUGUUGGAUUCCUGCCUUGGUCCAGUGCACCGAGUCUUGCCGGUUUCCUGAAGAGAGUCAACGCAGGUUCAGCCAGAGCUUUGCCAUUGCUGUGCCUUUACCAGAAGGACUUCCAAGAGCAGCGCUUUCAGUGGCCGUUGGGCCCUGACACGACGGCGUCUAACAAACCGAUUGAAAACUUGAGUUUUCUUGGUGGGUGCAUUGAACCGUCUGCAAGUCCUGUAGAUAUGGUGUAGUUAAUGUUAUAAAUUAAUCAGAGAUAUGAGAGAAAUCUGGUUGUAGGAGAAGGGACCCCCUGGCUGUGGGCUUCCGCAGAAAUCUUUCUGA